GACGAAGGAUUCAAGCGUUGUCCGGAUUUACUGGGAUUAAAGGGUGCGUAGGCGGAAAUAUAAGUCAGUGGUGAAAUCCCGCAGCUCAACUGCGGAACUGCCAUUGAAACUGCAUUUCUUGAAUACGGUUGAGGUAGAUGGAAUGUAACAUGUAGCGGUGAAAUGCUUAGAUAUGUUACAGAACUCCGAUUGCGAAGGCAGUCUACUAAGCCGUUAUUGACGCUGAGGCACGAAAGCGUGGGGAGCAAACAGG
This 253-nucleotide ribosomal RNA is filed under the name uncultured bacterium. Its description in RNAcentral is "partial 16S ribosomal RNA". It matches the Rfam family "Bacterial small subunit ribosomal RNA", at positions 524 to 776 of the family's 1533-position model. The record is from RNAcentral.